RNAcentral lists this ribosomal RNA (379 nucleotides) under uncultured eukaryote. RNAcentral's name for it is "partial 18S ribosomal RNA". It matches the Rfam family "Eukaryotic small subunit ribosomal RNA", at positions 592 to 976 of the family's 1831-position model. The record is from RNAcentral.
CAAUAGCGUAUAUUAAAGUUGUUGCGGUCAAAAAGCUCGUAGUUGGAUUUCUGUUGAGAGCGACCGGUCCAUACCAUGUAUGCGUAUCUGGCUUGCUCUCGGCAUCCUCUCGAUAGACGUUACUGCGCUUGAUUGCGUGGUGCGGAUCUCGGGACUUUUACUUUGAGGAAAUUAGAGUGUUCACGGCAGGCUUUCGCCAGAAUACAUUAGCAUGGAAUAAUACUAUAGGAUCUUGGUUCUAUUUUGUUGGUUCCUAGAAUUGAGAUAAUGAUUAAUAGGGACAAUUGGGGGCAUUCGUAUCAACACGUCAGAGGUGGAAUUCUUGGAUUGUGUUGCGACGAACUACUGCGAAAGCAUUUGCCAAGGAUGUUUUCAUUGA